UACGGGGGGGGCAAGCGUUGUUCGGAAUUACUGGGCGUAAAGGGCUCGUAGGUGGCCAACUCAGUCGGACGUGAAAUCCCUCGGCUUAACCGGGGAACUGCGUCCGAUACUGGAUGGCUUGAGAUCGGGAGAGGGAUGCGGAAUUCCAGGUGUAGCGGUGAAAUGCGCAGAGAUCGGGAGGAACACCCGUAGCGAAGGCGGCACUCUGGGCCGGUACUGACGCUGAGGAGCGAAAGCGUGGGGAGCAAACAGG
This 253-nucleotide ribosomal RNA is filed under the name uncultured bacterium. RNAcentral describes it as "partial 16S ribosomal RNA". It matches the Rfam family "Bacterial small subunit ribosomal RNA", at positions 524 to 776 of the family's 1533-position model. The record is from RNAcentral.